GAGCGAGGCGAUCGCGGGGGGGCAGCUAGAGGCCGGUCGGGUUAGGGGGUGCGCCGGCGGUACUUAGGGAUGCGGCUGUUGGCGAUGCGGCUGGGGAGGAGGAUGGCGCUGUCCGCGUCGCUGGACCGGCGCCGAGGAUAUGAGCGGGGCGGCCAGGGGCACCGGGGCCGGGUCUUGGGGAUGCGACGGGGCAUGUGCGGGUACGGGGGGGGGCAGCGACCGAAGCCGGUCCCGCCGCCUCCGAUGCCGCCACCGUACCCUAUGCCGCCAUCUCCAUCUCCGCCGCCACCGCCACCUGGCCCACCGAAGGCACCGCCGCCACCGUCUCCUCCGUCGUUGCCCUCCCUGCCCGAGCUGAGCGAGAGGGACGGGUUCCGCCUGAAGGCCCCGGAAUAUGGCAAGCUCUUCUCGAAGAUGCACCUCACGGGGCGGCACGUCCGAUACAGCCUGUGCCUCCACCGCGUCAUGGCAGUCGAGGCCCUAUAGUGGCACCUUCCGGCCCUCCACGGGUUCGGAUAGGCGAAGAAGGUACUUCGAUUGAAAGGUCUAAUGACGUACGUUCGUUAACGAUUCAGUCCUAAACACCUCGGUUGCGGAUAGGUUCGAGUCCCAACCGGCUACCGGAACUUCCCGUCCCUACACUAACCAUAACGUCUUUGACCUAGACCCUUUUGUGAUAGAAUGUAUGAUGGACCAAACCAAGUACAACCACGUGUCGGAGCUGAUCUUGUUCCACUACCGGGCUAACAGAACUAGGAACGAGGUUGUUCUCUUGACCGACAAGUUUAUGUCCGUCUUCGAUGUUUUAAACCUAGUAUGAGCUCUUGAUCUUCGUGUACAUAGAUGCCACCUCGUGGAUUCCCUGGUGUUUAUGCACUGGAUUCCUCUCCUCAACUUUAACAGUAACGUUGUGGACCGGCCAACUAUCUAUACGACCUUCGACCAGUGUGUUUGGAUGUAGCCCAAUGUAUGGAACAGGACCUACUCCGUCUAGCAUACGAGCUAUACCCAAAACUUGGAGUCUAAGCUUUUUAUAACCGUGUUUAGGCAGGCCUGUCCGUUUGGAACAUGACCUCACGGUGCACCGGCUCUCUUCAACUUUGUGACCGAUCUGUUAAAGACGUCUUGGGAAUGUUCCAUUACUAUCCUUGUCGACUUGAAUUUCGAUUGGUAAGGUAUGUCGUUUAACAACUUCAAUAGAGUCUAGUACUUUUUAUAGGGUCCGAUUCAUUUGAGAAUAGACUAGACUACCUACCCUCGGCUUAGAAUUAUAAAAAAGUUUGUUUUUUCCUUACACUAUUCCAGUGAGCCGUUGAAUCUUACCUGCCUACCGGUCGUAAUAGAUAUGUACCACUAUUUCGAGUCAGACUUUCCCUGAUACAAGACCGUCUCAAAUUCUUACCCUUCUCAGGAUAUUACCGACGGUGUCUACAUCGCCGUGCACCAGAACUACACUUCCUAUAAUUCACGCACUAAUUAAAACUAAAGGGCUGUUGAUAGCUCCUAAUAUAAGUAUCCUAUCCAGCGUGACCGGCACGGCCACGAUGACCCUACCGUAAGUGCAAGAAGUGCGUAAGGUUACGUUUUAUAAGUUCCUUAGAACAAUUCUAGAACGCGCUUCGACCCGUCCAACACUUAGGUCGCGAUCUUCGAUACAGGUUCAGGCGGCCAAGAUACCCUCCUCCUCCAUUAAAGGCCAGUUCCCCGGCUCCACCCAAACCACCACCACCCAUACCACCAUUGGCAAGACCUAGUUUAAGGUAAGGUCAUGCAUCUUCUAUGAUUCUGUGUUUUUACUUCUAGGUAAGACUACGAUCUUUUCUGUUCUCGCAACUUCAAAAUAGACAUAUGUAAUCCGUAAUUUAAUUUACGUAAAAACCCCUUAAAGAAACUUUAGGAAGAUGACAAUCUUCUAGUUUUGUUUUCAGUAAGAACUAUAAAAACAUGGCCUCGAGUAUACUUUCCUUGAGUACAUAGUCGCUGGAAUCUAAUGUUAUCAGAACAGCUUUGUCACUUGAUUCGCACAUGGAAACACCGAUUAACAGCCUCCGAGAGAAGAUUAACCUAAACCAGUAUACAAAACAACGAAGACGUAGAGAGAC
This 2102-nucleotide ribosomal RNA is filed under the name Triticum aestivum (bread wheat). RNAcentral's name for it is "partial small subunit ribosomal RNA". Lineage: Eukaryota; Viridiplantae; Streptophyta; Magnoliopsida; Poales; Poaceae. The record is from RNAcentral.